Molecule: long non-coding RNA, 5199 nt
Organism: Apodemus sylvaticus (European woodmouse)
Lineage: Eukaryota; Metazoa; Chordata; Mammalia; Rodentia; Muridae
Exons: 7
Source: RefSeq, a predicted model, not a curated record
GGCAGUGCCAGACAAAACUCUUGUGAGCAUCUCCAUAGUCACAGGAAAUGCAGUCCUUUACUCUCCAAGUGCCACAACUCUCCUGAUAAAAAACUCUUUCAACAGCAAUAGAAGGGGGUCUGUCCUCCAGACCUGAGGAAGGACUGAAGAUUCAUAAGUCCUGAGGCUAUGUCAUCUCAAGGAAGUCUGAAGGACCCACAAAGGUCAGAAACAAAACAAGAUGAAGCAAACAAGACAGUCUCUGCAUCUCUCCCAGGGUUCUGGGAAGGAUGAUCCAGCAAGAUAGAAAAGGUGCCAUUCAGGACAGGGUGCUGGAUUUCAACAUAGAACAAAGACCAGCAUCUCUUCAGGAAUCCUCCAGAACUCCUGCACUAGAUGGUACUGCUGAGACACCUAGUCUUGUGAACUGAACAACUACCAGAUUCUUGGCUUUUCCAUUGGGAUACUGCUAUUGUUGGAUUACCAGACCACAGCCUUUAAAGAUCUGAUCUCUCCGUGGUUUAGACGUGAGCUCUCCGUGCCUUCCACUUGUUGCUAUGCCUCCCUGCUAGGAUGGACUCCUACCCCUCUGGAACCACUGAAGUUUCUUCAGCCUUCUCUGACGUGAAUGGAACACCAGUGACUCUUCAGGAAUUUUCCAGGCCUUCAGCACCAGACUGAGACUGCUGAAGUGAUCAGCUUUUUGGACUAAACAGCCUCUCUAGUGUUCUACAGAAGACAGAUGGAUCAUGAAGAAUGACAGUUGACUAUGGCAAACUUAAUCAAGCAGUGACUCCAAUCACAGAUGCAGCUUCCUUAUUUGAGCAGAUUAACAUAUCUCCUGGCACCUGGUCUCGUGCAUAGUAGGCUAGCCUUGAGUUCCCUGCAUCCCUGAGAAUGACCUUGAGCAUCUCCUGACAUCAUCUUCCAAUUCAGACAUGCCCUGGUGUUUGUCGACGUAGUGAUUCUGAAUCCCAGUAGGUUGAUAAUGGAGAUUGACUGCAGCAUACUACAAAGCUCCAACAGCUUUUUGAAGUGCUCCUGUGAUGCUGGUAGCUGUUUCUGCUUCUUUCCCAGUGCCUCCAGGCAGCACCUGCUCUUCAUAAGUAAUUUCCUAUUACUUGGUCAUCGAGAGAGAACAAGUCUUGGAUCAGCUUCCAAUUGUUUUGGAUCCGCUUCUAAUUGCUUUGCUUGUCAUGCAGGUAACCUGUAGCCUCCUAGGAGGAACAGAAGAAGGGAAACACCCAAGCAGAUGGGAUGUGGAACAGUCAUUCUGGUUAUUCUACUUGACCUAGAAGGAGAGAUAAGGUUUACAGGUUCCACGCUUUGGUGGCACAGCACAGGGUAUGAAGAGACUUGUAUCCCAUAAGAAUGUUGGGCACAGAAAUAAACCCCUGGGCUGAAGGGAGCUCCAUGGUGGAUGAAAUGACCUAAUCAGUGGCCACCAGCUAGCCUUCUCCCCAGAUAUCACUGUCAUUGCCAAAAGGGCUUGAGGAAGGUAUGACCUGGAGAGCGUGUGUGGACCGGACGGUACGUGGGUGUCCAUUCAUUGAGGUUCAUCUACUAAGGCUGCUGCUUGGCACUCAGAUGGGUACUGCCACUAUGGGAGAGACCCCUCUGCUGUCACUGACACCAAGACAUACCUGAAUGUGAGCUGGCUUUUCGGGUCCAGGGUGCCUUCUUAGUAUACUUGACACCCUGCUGUGUAUCUCAUGGUUUUCUUCUGAACAGGGACUCAACACAGGCAGAGAGUACAAGCUCAGAGAAUCACUGCCUUAAUCCUCUCUAUCACCCGGGCUUGAGGACAGAUGACUGCAUUUUCUGCACCCUAAGGAGCUAGAACAAUGUCUUCUGAACCCAUCCAUGCAGCCAUGUUCUUGUAGCCACUGCUCAUGGUCCUGGAAACACAGAGGUUAAGCCAUCAAUGAUUUUGUUGUUGUUGUUCAGGGGAAAUCCACCAGUGACUGGCAGAUAGGACCCAGGGCUUUUGCAUACACUAGGCAAGCACCCUAUUACCAAAGUUAUAUCCCAUCUCUAUUCGAAUAACAAUUAUCUUCCUGUCCCCACUGCUCUAGGUUCUCUUGGUCAAGACUUCCACAGUAGGCACAAUACUGACUCCCAGGACCCUAGAGGUUGAGGAGACCAUGGGUGCACUUUGAGGUGUUCUUGUGAGAGAAUCACCAAGAUAGAUGCAAGGGGAAGACUGCAGGCUGGUACAGCUGCCCUGGCCAGUGAAAACAGGCUGCGGUUUCACAACAGAAAACCUAGACUGUAAACGAUGCCCUGCAGCUCUGGUCUCACCGUGAUUAACAUCAAUGGAAGAACUCCACUGCCCAAUCCAAGCAGGACUGCCGAGGGCGCAGACCUUUCAGGAAUGAAACUUAGGUCACCCACCAGGUAAAGGGCCACAAUCAGCUAAAGCACUCGCUGAAGCAAAAAGACGUGCAGGAAGAUGGUGAUAAAUACCAACCAGGCCAUGUGACCAGCUGCGGCCCCGAGCCUAGGAGAGUUACAGAAUUCUUCCCUAUGCGGUGACCAAAUAUGACUGGGAUUCUCCCUUCCCCUCCUCCGGACUCCUGCACCUAGGAUUAUGAGUUCCUAGAGCUGCUAGUUUUCUGUCUUUGGAUUGGCUGCAGCUCAGCUAGAAGGGGAAUGGAUAAGGACACAGAACCUCCCGUCUCUAUGGGGGGUGGGGACAUGCAUCUGACGGUGCAGUCCCAGCUGUCAGUUAGGCGAAAGUGGAACCUUACUUAGUUCAGAAAUCUCACCAAAGGCUUUCAUUUUUGUAAGAGGAUCAAAACAGGCAGAUCCUUAGAGAGAGAAAACAGCUGUCUUCCUGGUGUUAGGGAGGAAAUACCGGGAUGAUUAGGUGCUAAUGGCAGCAGGGAGAUAAGAUCUGGUAUGCUAGGAACAUUCAAACGCCAGAUAAUGGUGGUGGUCUGGUGGAGUUACUGAAAAUCACAGAUCGGUGUGCUUACUCAGAGCAAAUCAGAUCCCAUGCCAAGCAGAUGCAAUGGAGUUUCUUGUUUUCAAAGGGAAGUUAUCUGUGGUUGCCAGGGGGAAGGGGCAGCUGCAUGAUGUCACUGUCACUGAACUGAGGGUGGCAGCCACAGGUGUGGAAGUGAAGCAGGGACCCUCUUUAUGCCUCACGCUGGUUUCUGCCUGGCUUCCUAGAGCUUCUUUCUCCCUGAAGUCUUGGGUGCCGCCGGCCUCCUCCCGUGCUAUUCGCAGGUUGGUGUUGUGCACUGUCUGUCACAGAUUUUCUGGGAGCCCAGCAAUAUAGAGGACCUCCUGUUUCCCACUUCCCAACCACUGGGACUCCAGCUGGCUACUGGCUCCUGUACCAGCCAGGAUAUGUUCCAGGAGCUCCCCCUCCCCCCAGUCAAGCAGGGUUCUUCUGUCUUUGCCCUAGUCCUCCCUAGGGAGGGCCUAGGGGGGCAUUUGUCCCCAGCUCUGGUUACUAGUACAUGACCAUUCUCCGUUUUAAGCCUGCUCUCUUCUUUCCUUUCCUCAAGUACAGACUACAGUAGAGGCCUGAGAUCAGCAGAGACCUCAUCCAGUCCCCAGCAACCUGUACACUCUGUGCCCCGUGAUAAAGCACACAUAGCAGAAUUGUUCAUCUUUGCCGUGACUAAAUGAUGGAUUGACUAUCUGCUGCCCAUCCUCCAAGCAGAAACUGUCUCUGUGAAACACGGAUUCUCCAUCUCUUCCCAGCCCCCAUCACUCCACCCUGCUUUCUAUCUCUGUAGAUGUGUAGUCUCCAGGGACCUCUCAGGAGAGGAAUUCUAUAACGUGUAUCUGUGGUAGGCUUCUUUCCCUGGGCAGUGUCUAGAAUGUUCUGUGCUCCCUCCACACCUCUCCCCAUGCCUGUGCAGGCCGUCACUUCUGCUCACCUUCCCAUAGCAAUCUUCUUCCACAGUGAGGACCAAGGCCCAGACACAGAACCUUUUGAGGGGAAUUCAAGCUAUACCCAAACCACAGAACCCCAAUCCCUUCCUCCUCUAAGAGGCUCUUACUGGGGAUCAAGGAGUCAGCAGAGCCGUGAAGGCAGCAUUUGACUUGAGAGACUCCUGAGGACUUUUGCUGCAUUAUGAUAAAUGUUAGUUUUGUGACGGCACAAUUUCCAGGCCAUAUGUACCUGUGAGGACCAACAUUCUGUCAAUGUCUCCAAGGCCUCUGCUGUUGCCGCACAGCACGCCGCCUCUGCUUUCCUUACUCUCCUUCCCUUCCCUCGCUCCCUCUCUUCUCUCCUCAUGUCUCUCUCUGCCCAUCCUCUUUUCUCCUCCUUUUUCUCUCCCCCUUCUCCUCUCAUCUCUCUCCUUCCUCCUCCUCACCUCCCCACACCCACCCCCUGCCUCCGCACUCGCCUUCUCCCCUCCCUUCUUGUCUCUGCUAUCCUCUCCUUUUCUUUUCCCUCCUCUUCCUCCCUCUUCCCCCUUCCUCCUCUCCCCCUCCUCCUCCCCUUUCCUCCUCUCUUCCAUUCCAGCCUCCUCCCUUCCCCCAGGUAUCUCCCAACUCAGGAGUCCUCUCAAGGGAGCCGCUCAGGUCCCUGGUUGCUUCGGGCCUUGUUGGCUUCCUGCUGCUGCGGUUGGCCAGCCGGCCCGCCGGGAGGCUAUUGUUCCACCUGGGUGAGAUCACGUCCGUUCCGUUGGGCUUCUAGGUCUUGAAAGUGGACAGGCACGUGUGGUCUGCCCGUUCCAUCACUCUCCAGAAAGGAAGCACAGGCUGGACUGAGUGCUGGAUAAAAGUUGUAGCCGGGGCUUCCUUUACUGUAAUGCUGCUGCCUUUUCCCUGGACAUCCACCCACCGGGAAGCUGGAGCCACCUGAGGACCCCAGUACAACAGCAUUUUCAUCUACUUGGGCGACUUCAUUAUUAUUGGUAUUGCUAAGUAAUGGCUUUCUAAUCCUAUCCCUCCCUGUGUGUUUACUAGCCGACAUUCUGCUGCAAAACAAAAGCAGAAAAAACCACCCAGGCUUUUCCUCUCCAUGACUAAGUAAGCAAUAAACUACCUUUAGAAUGGAUCCACUGCCAACUGCUGUGAUCCGUCAUUUACCCUGAAGCUAAGGACAAAGCCUGUCCCCAGUGUGGCCAGCAGGCGCUGUCUCUUGGAGCUGGCUCCUUUGUCUUGCUGACAGUGCCCGACCUGCACCUGACUCACUCACUUUCUGAGAUGUCAUCUCAGGUAUUUCUUACUUGCUGGUGGAAUUACCAUCUAAGA